UACGAAGGGGGCUAGCGUUGUUCGGAAUCACUGGGCGAAAAGCGCACGCAGGCGGAUCGAUAAGUCGGGGGUGAAAGCCCGGGGCUCAACCUCGGAAUUGCCUUCGAUACUGGCGGUCUCGAGUCCGGGAGAGGUGAGUGGAAUUCCUAGUGUAGAGGUGAAAUUCGUAGAGAUUAGGAAGAACACCAGUGGCGAAGGCGGCUCACUGGCCCGGUACUGACGAUCAGGUGCGAAAGCGUGGGGAGCAAACAGG
Molecule: ribosomal RNA, 253 nt
Filed under: uncultured bacterium
Lineage: Bacteria
Description: partial 16S ribosomal RNA
Rfam family: Bacterial small subunit ribosomal RNA
Source: RNAcentral